CUGCAGAGGCCCUGCCAGAGUUGGGUCAGGUGGAUGGGCGAGAGGACCGGUGUGGCCAGGCGGCGGAAGCCAGCACAGGAGACAAGGGCGGGGGCUGUGCAUUACAGAGGCUGCUGGGGGCUUGUCCAAAGAGCAGCAGGGGGCACGGAAGGGCUUGGGGACACAGACACGAUCAGACUUGCAUUUCACCAGGCACUCUAGCUGCCUGCGGGGUGGCUGGGCUGUGUGAGAUGACCCUGCUUUGACCAGGUUAGGAAUUAUGACUGGUUUCCAGAGAGAACAUUGAUUAGCAGUUGGCUACGGGGGAGAGGGGGCGUUGAGCCAACUGGGGUCCCCCUGAAGUGCCAGCAAAGUCUCUGGUUUUCUCCAGGAUCUGUUUCCUCAGUGCCUGGCAGGAUUGGCUCCCCUGCACGCCAUGUCUUUGUGAUUCCUUCCAGACAGAAACCAGGAGCGAAUAAAGUGAGUAAUGACAACAAGGGCUCAGGCCACUGCUGUGGAGGGCUGUCCACAACCCAGAGCUGGUCAUGCGCCGGGCACCCUGGCCUCCAGUUCCCUCGGAAUGGCAGGAGCUGGAGGUGGGACUCAAGAUUGUGGGAGCUAAGCCUGCAGCGAGUGACCAGGAGCCAGCUGGGGCUGGGCUUGGUCACUGUCACCUCCCCCGGAGGUCGUGAGUGGGAUGAGCAGCUGGGUGAAGACGCCUGCCUGUUUCACCAGUGUCCCUGCCCUCAGUCCCCUAGUCCAUGAAGGGUGUCUGUGUGAAGACUGGGGGCGAUAUAGGGCAGCCCCACGUGACAAUGAUACGUGCUGUGGCCAGCUGGGCAACACUGUCGCCAGCUCCGGGGUCUGCCAGGUGGGGUGGGGGCUGUGAGCCACAGCAGGAGCAGGCCAGGCCUGGGUUUGGACACCUGCUCCUCUGCCUUGUCCCGGUGCUGAUGCAGGAAGGCCCCUUCUCCAACCCUUGGUGCAACGUCUGAGCUGAACCAGCUUCCCCAGCCCAGCAACACUGCUCCGCUAAUGUGGAUGUCAACCUAAAGAAACAAACUGAACCACAGUUCAUAUAGUUUGUCUGGGCCAAGGCUGAGAGAGCUGCCCAGGACACACCAAGUUGCCCUGGGAGUGCUUCAUUCAGCCUUAUUACAAGCAAGUUUUUAAAGAUGGAAGGGGACAAGGAGUGGGCCGAUACGAAGUCAGCAGGAAUUCUGACUGCUUUCCAGAUAGAACCUUCGUGACUGGCUAUACAGUGUUAGACUACAGGAAAAGAGGCCACGUGCCACGGGGCUUUGCCCUGCAUGCUCCAGAGAGAUCCAUGCUGUUGGACCUUUCAUCUCCUCUCCUGGAGAUUGACCCAGUUAUAGUGCUCUUUGGAAAAACGACAGACGACUUCCAUCAUACAGUCUUCAGCAACCUUGAAAGAUUGGACAAGCUUCAGCCGACUCUUGAAGUUCACAAGGAUAGAGGAGAUGGAGAGACGCCGGUCAACGCGAGGGUGGUGCAGGCAGCCCCUCUGAGGUUUGGC
This is an RNA transcript of Nomascus leucogenys (northern white-cheeked gibbon), 1516 nucleotides long. RefSeq lists it as uncharacterized. The record is from RefSeq and is a predicted model, not a curated record. The transcript is spliced from 5 exons. NCBI's taxonomy places the organism in Eukaryota, Metazoa, Chordata, Mammalia, Primates, Hylobatidae.